This 53-nucleotide ribosomal RNA is filed under the name Bacillus amyloliquefaciens. Its description in RNAcentral is "partial 16S ribosomal RNA". Lineage: Bacteria; Bacillati; Bacillota; Bacilli; Caryophanales; Bacillaceae. The record is from RNAcentral.
CUUUAUCGGAGAGUUUGAUCCUGGCUCAGGACGAACGCUGGCGGCGUGCCUAA